GACGAACGCUGGCGGCGUGCUUAACACAUGCAAGUCGAACGGAGCACCUUCGAAAGAGACUUCGGUCAAUGGAAAAGAAUGCUUAGUGGCGGACGGGUGAGUAACGCGUGAGGAACCUGCCUUUCAGUGGGGGACAACAGUUGGAAACGACUGCUAAUACCGCAUAACGUACGGGUAUCGCAUGGUAUCUGUACCAAAGAUUUAUCGCUGAGAGAUGGCCUCGCGUCUGAUUAGCUAGUUGGUAGGGUAACGGCUUACCAAGGCGACGAUCAGUAGCCGGACUGAGAGGUUGGCCGGCCACAUUGGGACUGAGAUACGGCCCAGACUCCUACGGGAGGCAGCAGUGGGGAAUAUUGGGCAAUGGGCGAAAGCCUGACCCAGCAACGCCGCGUGAAGGAAGAAGGCUUUCGGGUUGUAAACUUCUUUUGACAGGGAAGAGCAGAAGAC
Molecule: ribosomal RNA, 447 nt
Filed under: uncultured bacterium
Lineage: Bacteria
Description: bacterial SSU rRNA
Rfam family: Bacterial small subunit ribosomal RNA
Source: RNAcentral